Molecule: ribosomal RNA, 497 nt
Filed under: uncultured bacterium
Lineage: Bacteria
Description: partial 16S ribosomal RNA
Rfam family: Bacterial small subunit ribosomal RNA
Source: RNAcentral
GAUGAACGCUGGCGGCGUGCCUAAUACAUGCAAGUCGAGCGAACAGACGAGGAGCUUGCUCCUUCGACGUUAGCGGCGGACGGGUGAGUAACACGUAGGUAACCUACCUAUAAGACUGGGAUAACUUCGGGAAACCGGAGCUAAUACCGGAUAAUAUUUCGAACCGCAUGGUUCGAUAGUGAAAGAUGGCUUUGCUAUCACUUAUAGAUGGACCUGCGCCGUAUUAGCUAGUUGGUAAGGUAAUGGCUUACCAAGGCAACGAUACGUAGAUGACCUGAGAGGCUGAUGGGCCGCACGAGAACGUAGACACGGUCCAGAGUCCUACGGGAGGCAGCAGUAGGGAAUCUUACACAAUGGGCGGAAGCCAGACAGAGCAACGCCAAGUGAGUUAUGAAGGUCUUAGGAUCGUAAAGCUCGCCUAGGAGGGAAGAACAAACGUGGGAGUAACUGUACAGGUCUUGACGGUACUUAAUCAGAAAGCCACGGCUAACUACGUG